RNAcentral lists this ribosomal RNA (778 nucleotides) under uncultured Neocallimastigales. RNAcentral describes it as "partial large subunit ribosomal RNA". It matches the Rfam family "Eukaryotic large subunit ribosomal RNA", at positions 26 to 618 of the family's 3401-position model. Lineage: Eukaryota; Fungi; Neocallimastigomycota; Neocallimastigomycetes; Neocallimastigales. The record is from RNAcentral.
CGUCUAUAUACGUAUAGCAUAUCAAUAAGCGGAGGAAAAGAAACUAACAAGGAUUCCCUUAGUAACGGCGAGUGAAGCGGGAAGAGCUCAAAUUUGAAAUCUUCAAGGUUCUACCUUGACGAAUUGUAGUUUAAAGAAGUGUUUUCUGUUAGAGGAGUAGGCAAAAGUUCCUUGGAAUAGGGACAUCAUAGAGGGUGAGAAUCCCGUAUUUGGUUAUUCUUUCUAGCUUCGUGAUACACUUUCAAAGAGUCGGAAUUGUUUGGGAAUGCAGUCCAAAAUGGGUGGUAAAUUUCAUCUAAAGCUAAAUAUUGGCGAGAGACCGAUAGCGAACAGGUACCGUGAGGGAAAGAUGAAAAGAACUUUGAAAAGAGAGUUAAACAGUACGUGAAAUUGUCAAAAGGGAAGCGUUUGACACCAGUGUUGUUUUUCCGAAAAUCAAUUAAGAAUGGCUUGAUUUUGUGUUGUAUUGACCUUAUCAGCUUUCUUCACUCUUUUUCGAGUCUUUCUUAAUGCACUUUUCGGUUAACAAGUCAACAUCAAUUUCUUUUGUUGUAAAAGGGUAUUUGGAAGGUGGCUUUCUUUUCGGAGAAAGUGUUUAUAGCCUUAUACCUCUACAAUCGGAGAGAUUGAGGUCUGCAGCGUAGAUCCUUCGGGGCUAGAUACACUUGUGCUAAGUUAUAGCUUUUCAUAGACAACUUGUUGACUAUGUUUAGUCAUGUAGCUUACCCGCUUGUGCUAUUUUACCUACGCUUAGGAUGUUGAGUCAUCACACAUCUCU